UCUCCGUUGGUGAACCAGCGGAGGGAUCAUUACCGAGUUUUUCUACUCCCAAACCCUUGUGAACCUAUACCUUUACUGUUGCUUCGGCGGGUUAACGCCCCGGAAGGCCCAAAAAGGCGCCGGAACCAGGCGCCCGCCGGGGGACCCAGACUCUUGUGUUUCUUACGUGGCAUGUCUGAGUGGAAGCAUAAGCAAAUGAAUCAAAACUUUCAACAACGGAUCUCUUGGUUCUG
Molecule: unclassified non-coding RNA, 233 nt
Filed under: plant metagenome
Description: partial contains small subunit ribosomal RNA, internal transcribed spacer 1, and 5.8S ribosomal RNA
Source: RNAcentral